RNAcentral lists this ribosomal RNA (252 nucleotides) under uncultured bacterium. RNAcentral's name for it is "partial 16S ribosomal RNA". It matches the Rfam family "Bacterial small subunit ribosomal RNA", at positions 524 to 776 of the family's 1533-position model. The record is from RNAcentral.
UACGGAGGAUGCGAGCGUUAUCCGGAUUUAUUGGGUUUAAAGGGUGCGUAGGCGGGAUGCCAAGUCAGCAGUAAAAAUGCGGUGCUCAACGCCGUCGAGCCGUUGAAACUGGCGUUCUUGAGUGGGCGAGAAGUAUGCGGAAUGCGUGGUGUAGCGGUGAAAUGCAUAGAUAUCACGCAGAACUCCGAUUGCGAAGGCAGCAUACCGGCGCCCUACUGACGCUGAGGCACGAAAGCGUGGGUAUCGAACAGG